Molecule: RNA transcript, 3775 nt
Organism: Eriocheir sinensis (Chinese mitten crab)
Lineage: Eukaryota; Metazoa; Arthropoda; Malacostraca; Decapoda; Varunidae
Gene name: zinc finger protein 182-like
Exons: 2
Source: RefSeq, a predicted model, not a curated record
UCAAGAUCAAGGUCGAGGUCCGCCGCGUGCCCUGAAGUGCCCUGGCAGUGUUUCUCGUGGAGGAGGAGGAGCCCCUCGGCGUGCAGGCCCCCAGGGCGGUGGCUGAGUGGUUAGCGUGCCGGUCCAGUAUUCACUGCGUCGUGGAUGAUUUGGGUUCGAAUCCGCCGCUACCACCUGGGAUUUUUCAGUCACCGCCGAGUGGCCCAAGACCACCGACAUGCUGUCCUGAAGACCACCCAUCAACGUGGACUCUAAAGGAACUGUCAAAGGGAAAUCAAGAAUGAGCUUCCGGGCGCAGCAUGAGCCAAGAAUAGACGGCGCCAGUAUAAACACUUGCCUGCACCACGUCGGGCUUGGGCCAACCACCACUCUUCCUAUGGCUAUUUAUUACCCACAAAAAAUGGAAAUGUGUACAUUUCAGGAUAAAUAAAAGUACGAUGAAAGAGAAGGUUUUUGCCUUAGGCCAGUAUUUAUGUUAUGACUACAGUACCCUCUCCAGUUUCGUGCUCGCUUCGUUCCGAAGGUGUAGCGCUAAACUCGAGGGUCGCGAAACUCAAGGUAUUAAAAACACUGAAAAAGCGCUUAUUUGUUCCGACCCGUGGAGUUUUUAAAAUUUUUUUAUGUGGCUUAUGGCGCCGGUAAACUAUCCAUCUGAGCCUAAUGGUCGGCCCCGAGCCUGUCAUGGCGCAGGCAACUGUUUAUAGUGGUGCCAUUAUAAUUGGGUCAUGCUGCCCCCCGGAGCUCACUUUUUUUCCUCCUUUACUCCCUUGUUAUCUCAAAAUACGUACCUUGGAAAAAGAAAGGAAACAGAAAGAGAGAACGGGUCAUUUUAAAGCCACAGAUGAAGCCUUACGAUUGGCUGAGCUCUGAAAACACGCUUGUGAUUCGCUGGGAGUCCAAUGACAUCAUCGCCGGCGCUCACCCAAUCAGCGGCCUCACUGCCUUAUUAACCCGUAGGCUUCGGCUAUGGGAAGGCCGAGAAGUGCCCGAGAAACGACAAAACUACUCUGCAUUUUGAGACUAAGAAAAGAGCAUGGAACGUACAUCAGAGUACUCCUCUCAUAACCAUAAAACCGUUACAAAUAUUUACUUUUACUCAAACUCCAUUCUUUUUGGGUGAUGUUUGUUACAAAAUAAACAGUCUCGUGAUGCGUGGCAUCUAGCCGAGAGUCGCUUGUUGUGUACUACAGAGAAUUUGCCAAGUGAUCACUGUAUGGAUAGCUAAUUCAGUAUGCCACGACCUUACAGCACCACCUAUGACAAAAAAGCCCACCUCAAGAUCACCCACCCACCACAUUGACCUAGGGCAUUCAUGGUGGGUUGCGCUAUGCCACCACCGCCUACAAUUAGCUCGAAUUAGGCGUUUUAUGGCGAGCCCUUUUUAGGGUCCACCGUACCACAGCCACGACUCGUGAAAGCCUAAAAAAGGGUCUGCCCACGUUCUCGGGUUAAGGAGGGCGCCCGGGGGGGUCCCUCCUGGGCACACAGUACAAAGGAACACAAAGGAAGAACAAACAACAGCAGACCUGCUGGUCCUUACGAAGUUGUUUGUGACAAGCUACACUAACUAUCUAAUCAAAGGUGGAAGAUGAAGGACAGCAAAUGCGAAGGCUCCUCCCCACCCCCCCAUCCCUCCAGCCAAAGCUGUCAGGAAAGGAAAAAGAACCAUGCAGCAUAGAAAAACUGCAUGGAAUUUAUGUAGGAAAGAGGAAAGAACUACCAUUACUGCUACCACUAACCGGGCGAUAAAAGUGGACAAAGACACCAGUAUUCGAAAGAACUUAACGUUAUUAUGACAAUGAGUAAUAUCUUAGUUGCUGGUUGGAUUCAAAACACUUGUCUAAUCUUUUCUUGAAGGCCGUAACUGUUGUACUAUCAACGACAUCACAAGGUAGAGAGUUCCAAACAUUAACAACUCGAUUGAAGAAGAAGUGUUUAGCUUCGUGCGACGAGAAUCUUUUACCACUUAUCUUCAAAUUGUGAUUUCUUUUUGUUCUAUUUGAUCGAUCAAUUGUAAAGUAAUCUUCCGCAUUAAUAUCACUGAAUCCUUUAAACAUUUCAAACACUUCUAUUAGAUCGCCUCACAUUCUUCGUUUUGGUAGGCUGAAUAAAUUUACUUCUUAAAGCCUUUGUUCAUAUGACAAAUUUCUCAACCUAGGAAUCAUCUUUGUUACUCUUCGUUGGACCCAUUCCAACUUUUCUAUGUCUUUUCUGUAGUAGGGAGAACAAAAAUGUACACAGUACUCUAGACGGGGUCAAACCAACGAACUAUACAGUUUUAAUAUUACUUUUUCUGAUUUAUUAUUAAAGACUCGUCCAAUGAAGCCAACCAAUUUGUUUGCAAUUUUAACUACCUCUGAACAAUGCUGACCGGGCUUUAAAUCACUUGAUAUAGUGAUUCCAAGAUCCUUUUCUUUACUUACUGCAGAAAGUUGUUGGCCAUUCAUUACGUACCGAACGCGAUUGUUAUUUUUUCCGAUGUGCAACACUUUACAUUUGUCAACGUUAAAUUUCAUUUGUCAUUGAUUGGCCCAACGUGCAAGUCGAUCUAGAUCUGAUUGCAAAGCUUCUUCGUUGAGUGUCGCAGUUACUUUACUAGCAAUUUUUGUGUCAUCAGCAAAUUUUGAUACUUUGCAAGUGAGCCCAUCAUCGAUAUCAUUAACAUAAAUUAAGAAGAGCAUGGGGCCAAGCACUGAUCCUUGAGGUAUGCCGCUUUUGACAUCAAGCCAGUUAGAUGUAACACCGUUUAGAACUACUCUCUGUUUCCGCUCAGAGAGCCAAUUGUGAAUGUUACCCGAGAUACCGUGCGCCAGUAGUUUGCUGAGCAAUCGUUGGUGGGGGACCUUAUCAAAUGCCUUUUGAAAAUCCAGAUAUAUGAUAUCUACUGAUCUGCUUUCAUCGAACACCUCAAAAAUAUAGUGAAAAAAAUCAAGUAAGUUAGUCAAACACGAACGUUACUACGGAAGCCAUGUUGCGAAUUAUUUAUUAUAUUACUUUCUUUGAAGAAUUUCACCAUAUUGUUGCGAAUGAUAGUCUCCAUUAACUUACAAACAAUCGAUGUCAGGCUAAUUGGUCGAUAGUUUCCUGGAUGAGACCUGUCCCCCUUUUUGAAAAUUGGUGUGACAUUUGCAAGUUUCCAAUCCGACGGAACUUUUCCAGCUGUUAAAGAUUUAUUGAAUAUGAUGGAGAGCGGUUUACAAAUUUGAUGUUUGAUUCCUUUUAAGACCCUAGGGGUAAUUUUGUCUGGACCAGGAGCUUUGCUUACUUUAAUCUUUUCAAUUGUGCGUAAAAUGUCACUUUCUACGAUGAGCACGCCACUUAACAUCUUUUCGGCCCUUCUAACCUCCGGCGGUUGAGGUGAUAAACAAUCUUCGUCAGUAUGUCCUAUGGCUUUGAAAUUUUAGUAUGUUGUUUGUUGGUGUAAGUGUAUGACAUUCUGUGAAUUUUGUGAAAUUUGGGUGAAUGUGUAGAGGAGACUCAAACAAAGCAUAAAAUCUUAUUUUUGUUUCACAGACUUUAGUUGAAAAAAAUAUACCAUAGAAACUUUGUGUAUAGAUCUACAUUUAUCAUUUUGUAAUUUUUAAAAAAAAAUUUUCUGGCUUAAAAAAAUUGAAAUUCAUUUUCACUAAUAAUUUUCUCCACUUUUUCUCCCGUUUUCUUUUUACAUUUUUAAAAAAUGUACAAAAUGAGAAAAAUUGCCGUUUAGUUGUAGAUUAUAUUGAUACCUUACAAAUGACUGUCAGACGUUUUGUCGAUUUUUUGAAAUUUUUUGAAG